CCUACGGGCGGCUGCAGUGAGGAAUAUUGGUCAAUGGCCGGAAGGCUGAACCAGCCAAGCCGCGUGAAGGACGAAGGUGCCAAGCAUUGUAAACUUCUUUUGUCAAGGGACAAAAUCAGGCUCGAGAGCCUGACCGAGGGUACUUGAAGAAAAAGCAUCGGCUAACUCCGUGCCAGCAGCCGCGGUAAUACGGAGGAUGCGAGCGUUAUCCGGAUUUCUUGGGUUUAAAGGGUGCGUAGGCGGGCUGUUAAGUCAGCGGUAACAGCCCGGGGCUCAACCCCGGCGGGCCGUUGAACCUGGCGGUCUGGAGAGGUCGAGAGGUAUGGGGAAUGCGCGGUGGAGCGGUG
This 347-nucleotide ribosomal RNA is filed under the name uncultured bacterium. Its description in RNAcentral is "partial 16S ribosomal RNA". It matches the Rfam family "Bacterial small subunit ribosomal RNA", at positions 338 to 683 of the family's 1533-position model. The record is from RNAcentral.